RNAcentral lists this ribosomal RNA (374 nucleotides) under bacterium enrichment culture DGGE gel band MC19. RNAcentral's name for it is "bacterial SSU rRNA". It matches the Rfam family "Bacterial small subunit ribosomal RNA", at positions 959 to 1333 of the family's 1533-position model. The record is from RNAcentral.
ACGCGAAGAACCUUACCUGGUCUUGACAUCCACAGAACUUUCCAGAGAUGGAUUGGUGCCUUCGGGAACUGUGAGACAGGUGCUGCAUGGCUGUCGUCAGCUCGUGUUGUGAAAUGUUGGGUUAAGUCCCGCAACGAGCGCAACCCUUAUCCUUUGUUGCCAGCGGUCCGGCCGGGAACUCAAAGGAGACUGCCAGUGAUAAACUGGAGGAAGGUGGGGAUGACGUCAAGUCAUCAUGGCCCUUACGACCAGGGCUACACACGUGCUACAAUGGCACAUACAAAGAGAAGCGACCUCGCGAGAGCAAGCGGACCUCAUAAAGUAUGUCGUAGUCCGGAUUGGAGUCUGCAACUCGACUCCAUGAAGUCGGAAUC